Leopardus geoffroyi (Geoffroy's cat) is the source of this 1860-nucleotide long non-coding RNA. RefSeq lists it as uncharacterized. The transcript has 2 exons. Lineage: Eukaryota; Metazoa; Chordata; Mammalia; Carnivora; Felidae. The record is from RefSeq and is a predicted model, not a curated record.
UCCCAGGCGAGCACCACCCGGCCGGACCCGUGGCCCGAUUGCUGCGAAGACGUCCCCCUCCCUUCUGAACCGUGUGCGUCCCUCCACGCCCGUCCUGUCCUGGACACACGAGCCCAUAAAAGCGCUCCCCACGCCCCGCUGCACACAGGCCUCUCCCAGGGGACCCUCGGCGACUCUGGGUCUGUACAUCUUCUCAGAUCAGCCGCGGAAGUCGUCUUUGGAACCAGCAAACGGCACUCUGUGCUCGAGAGCGCUCCUUCCUGCUGCACGCGCCGUGUGGCUGGCCUUCGCCCUCGCCUCGGGCUGCCCUGCAUCUGUCCUCCGCCCUCGGCCACACACCCCUGCGCCCUCCCAGCUGGGGCUCCCGGGGAGCAGGCUCUCGGGAUUGGCUCCAGGACUGCCGGAAAUGAAGUCUUUAAUUCAGUAGAUGGCACUCUUACCUCUGAAUCCACAGAGCACCGCGCUUCUCCCACACGCACACACACCUGACAAAGAGAAGAAAUGACGUUCGUUCUUCUGAUUUUAUUCUUCUCGAAGUCUCCUGAAACUGGGAGAAUGCGGCAAAUUAAAACUUCAAGAAGGCCUUCCUGCGAGGGGAGGAAGCAGAAAUAGAAGCCACCCCGGUCCCGUUAGGUGGAAAUAUUCACUGCCCACGCUGGUGGAUCUCCUUUUGUGGUUCUAGUGAGGAUCCCACUGCACAGAAGGGAGAGAAAUCUGACCGAGUUAAAGAAGGAUUUGUGGGAGAUUUGUGUGUCCUUUGACAUCUGAAACAGGGCCAAACUGCGGCCGGGGCCGGGGUGGGGGGGGUCAGUGUCUCCUCCACCCCUGACCUCGCUGCAGCUAAGGGUGUGUCACAAUCUCUCAUGCAAAGUCGCCAUUCGUGAUUUCCAGGACACCUGGGAGAGAAUGGGUGUCACCCACAGCUGCAGAGUCCGCGGCUGAUUCCCGAUGUCAAGCUCCCAGGAAGGCUCUCCGUGGUCGGGCCGGGGUCACGUGACAUCUCAGGACCAGGCAGCUGUGCCGGGACUCAGGGGUGCACGGUCCCCACGGGUGGCCCCCGAGGUGCCCAGGUGGACGGGGGCGGGUCAAGGUCAGGUGCCGGAGGAGGCAGGCCCGCGUGUCUGCCUUCACGAGCACAGGUGCGCACAUGUGGGGGCUGAGGAGGAGUUUUUAAAAAAGAGGAAUAAAGGCAGAAAAGGGAAGCAUUUCUACUACACAGGAUGUUGUAAUUAUGUAAGUAAAUGAUGUCUCCACGAAUGUGACAUCGUAAGGCCGCUUUUCAGUCUCUGUGGCGUCUCAAACUGUGGUUUGAUACUUUAAUUCCUAGAUUUAUCGCAAUUCAGGGGGAUUAUUUCCACUCCCCCCCGCCCGCCAAAUUUUGAAUAAGUUGUUGAGAUUGGCACGCGUUCAUGCUCAGAAUUCACCGAUUACAGCAUUUUAGCUCACGAUGGGUGAAGGCGUUGCCUCCAUGGCCGACCUGGGCCUGUGCUCUCCUCAACUAAGAGUCCGGAGCAGCCACGGCUAUUUACAAAAGAGGAGUCCCCGUCGGCAGCUAAGAAAACCAACGGCUGUAAUGAUCCGUGCGUCCCCACGGAGCUGGUCGGCACAUUUCCGGGUGACCCUGGGGAGGCAGCGUAUCUCCGAUCUCCGUUGCCCAACGGUCUCUGGGGUGCAGGGCAUGAGUCCUAGGCGGUCAGGAUGUGCCCAGACCCAUCUCCCGGGCACGGCUUCCCUCCCCUCCAACACCAGCCAGUUGGCUCACAGCCUCUUUAGUGGCAGAGGUUGUGAAAUCCUUUCUUCAUAAAUUGGCUUACAUCAACCGAUUAAAAGACGAGAUCAGUCUUCUGAGUUUGCCCCGCG